This 673-nucleotide ribosomal RNA is filed under the name uncultured Gammaproteobacteria bacterium. RNAcentral describes it as "bacterial SSU rRNA". It matches the Rfam family "Bacterial small subunit ribosomal RNA", at positions 8 to 675 of the family's 1533-position model. Lineage: Bacteria; Pseudomonadati; Pseudomonadota; Gammaproteobacteria. RNAcentral also lists the same sequence under 1 other name. The record is from RNAcentral.
AGAGUUUGAUCCUGGCUCAGAUUGAACGCUGGCGGCAGGCUUAACACAUGCAAGUCGAGCGGAGAUGAGGUGCUUGCACCUUAUCUUAGCGGCGGACGGGUGAGUAAUGCUUAGGAAUCUGCCUAUUAGUGGGGGACAACAUUCCGAAAGGAAUGCUAAUACCGCAUACGUCCUACGGGAGAAAGCAGGGGAUCUUCGGACCUUGCGCUAAUAGAUGAGCCUAAGUCGGAUUAGCUAGUUGGUGGGGUAAAGGCCUACCAAGGCGACGAUCUGUAGCGGGUCUGAGAGGAUGAUCCGCCACACUGGGACUGAGACACGGCCCAGACUCCUACGGGAGGCAGCAGUGGGGAAUAUUGGACAAUGGGGGGAACCCUGAUCCAGCCAUGCCGCGUGUGUGAAGAAGGCCUUAUGGUUGUAAAGCACUUUAAGCGAGGAGGAGGCUACUGAGACUAAUACUCUUGGAUAGUGGACGUUACUCGCAGAAUAAGCACCGGCUAACUCUGUGCCAGCAGCCGCGGUAAUACAGAGGGUGCGAGCGUUAAUCGGAUUUACUGGGCGUAAAGCGUGCGUAGGCGGCUUUUUAAGUCGGAUGUGAAAUCCCCGAGCUUAACUUGGGAAUUGCAUUCGAUACUGGGAAGCUAGAGUAUGGGAGAGGAUGGUAGAAUUCCAGGUG